This 1110-nucleotide long non-coding RNA is filed under the name Mytilus galloprovincialis (Mediterranean mussel). The record is from RNAcentral. Lineage: Eukaryota; Metazoa; Mollusca; Bivalvia; Mytilida; Mytilidae.
AAACAAUGAUGAUUCUUUAUGCUCGUAUAAAAAUCUGCUAACAGAAGAAGUUUCAGAUCCAUUCAUCCUAAUAGAAUUUGUUAGGAUUAUAGUUAAAAAGAUUGGUUUUAUUGUUACUGAUAUGGUUCAGAAGAAAUUCCAAACAGAAUAGGUUUUAACAAAUCAUUUACAAUACAAAUGAUCGACUGUUUUACAAAACCGCGUUUUCCUACAAUUUUGAUGAACCAAAUUAACUCAUGACUAUUACAUGUAAUUUAAAAGCGUAUCAAUGGAAGCAGUGACAUUGGUACCGCUAAUGUUUUCAUUGUUAGUACUGUGUUAUCUUGUUUGCCUACAUGUACAAAUGAGAGGUUUCGCUAGCUAUACAUGUAAAACCAUGUAAAAUUCACAACUUUCUACAUAGAACAUAUUUGUGCCAAAUACGAAGUAUGACAGUUGUUAUAGAUUUGUUAAAUUUGCUUUUGGCCUUUGGUUUUGUCAUUAGCUUAUAGAUAUAGGAAGAUGUGGUGUAAGUGCCAAUGAGACAACUCUCCAUCCAAAUAACAAUUUAAAACAAUUCAUUAUAGGUAAAGUACGACUUCAAACGGGCUUGCUUAACCAACAUUCGAAAAAAAGUCGGUUUUUUUUUUAUUAUUGUUAUAUCAUGUAUAUUCCUUUGUACUAUGAAAUAAUUUACAAAUAAAGAUCCUUAAUUAAAAUAGAGAGGCAAAAGAUACCGAGGAUAGAAUCAAACUUUCAAGUCGAGCAAUGAUUGACACUGUCAGGGCUCAAGAAGCUUAAAACAAGCAUCAGACAAACGACAAACAAUAAUGCCAAAAAACAUAUAAAACUACUUAGACCAAAACACCCACCACUAACAUCUGUGAAUGAUAUUGGUGCUUCGGAGGUAAAAUUAGACCCAGCUGCUUAUAGAACAGCCGUGGUGUUGCUCAUGUAAAUAAACCCCCUGUAAUAGAUAAAAGCAUUAGUAGUAUAAUAAGCCUUACAUUGAAGAUAACAUUUGGGGGAAAAAAGUAAAGGGGUUAGAAACAAGACUUUUUUUAAUAUAUCCGCGCUAUUAUAUGUACUGUUAAACAGACAUUCCAUAAUUAUCAACCAACUCGUCUUGGG